This 74-nucleotide ribosomal RNA is filed under the name Dehalococcoidia bacterium. Its description in RNAcentral is "partial 23S ribosomal RNA". Lineage: Bacteria; Bacillati; Chloroflexota; Dehalococcoidia. The record is from RNAcentral.
UGCUUGAUAGGCCGGAUGUGUAAGAAACGUAAGUUUUUUAGCAAACCGGUACUAACCAGUCGAGAGGCUUGACU